UCAGGAGGUCCCAUCUUCAUACUUUUGCUCAGGCUGCCUGGAAGAGCCUUCCUUCCACCUGUUCACAACAAUACUCUUUGAACCUGAGCUUUCUCCACCAUGAAGUCUUCUUUGAUAAAGAAAGAAGUUGUUGUUACCAAUGACAGCUAAGUGAUUUUUUACCUAAAAAGGAUGAGAAAAUUGGAGGUCUAUAAAGUAUCUUGAAGACAAAAGUUGCCAUAUAAAUGCUGUGUGUUAUCUUCUUCAUCAAGGACCAUGGAAGAAGCUGCUGGUUGGAGAUGAAUGAGCUUUUGUUUCUGCAAAGUCGAAUUUUUAUUUUUUAGCUGAUAUGUUUGGAGCCAGAACUCUUCCCUGAGACAAGCCCCAUGGAUGACUGAUUCCUGAAACUGCCCUGCUGAGAGGUGAAGAGGAAACUUCCAGCACCCUGGGAGGAGCAUGAGGAUAGGUUCACAGUGGGAACCCACAGAAGAGGAGCUGCCCAGCUCAGGGAGCCAGUGAAAUCACAGUGAUCAUUAACAGGGCAAGAGAGUGAACAAAGCAGACUUAGAUAUCAAGACUGUCAAGGGCAAGGAUCCAGAUCAUGCCCUCAAAACAACAAAUUCCAGAGAGGUGUUGAAAUCGAAGAUCGGCAACUUCUUAUAAUCUGGCUUCACCCCCAUUUUUAAAAACUAGGAACUGAGUCCCCACAAUUGGGUUGGAUCAGCUAUUUGUCCAGGCCAAGACUGCCAUUGUCUUAUAGACUUGCUUCAUUGUGUUACUUCCUGGGUCAGAAAUCAUCACCCAUCCUCCCCUCCUUUAAGCGGCAGCCCAGAGUCUUUAGCCAGUAUUCCAAGCCAUCUAAGCACUGGGUCAGACUGACUCUUGCAGGCUUACUUCCCCUAUCCUAUAACAUUACCAGAAUGAUUUUCCCUUUUUGCUCUCAUCCAAUAGCAACAUUGCCCAGACUCAAAACACUGUCUCACAUCUCAUUACCUCCAGAAAAACUUCCCAGAUCACCCAACAUAAAUGAGACCAUUUCCUCUUUUAUGCCUCGAAGAGUCUCCUGGCUUGUCACCUUCAUGAUGCUCAGUCCACGCUGUCUAGGGCUGUUGCCCUGUAUGUUCCCAUUGAGAAUCUUGAGCUUCUAUAAGCUCAUAGACAAUAAAGGACACUCUGUUUUUCCUUUUCAGCAGCACUGGGCACAAUGCCUAGCAUGCACAGCAAUGGCUCAGCACAUAUUGUGGAGCUAACCAGGUAAAUUGGGUUUUAUGUAAUGGUUGGUACCUAAAGUAGCUUACAUAUAAGCCCAUCCAUCUAUCCAUCCAUCCAUCCAUCCAUCCAUCCAUCCAUCCAUCCAUCCAUCCAUUUCUACAUUGACUACAUAUUCUAUCCAGCUCAGUGCUUGGUCCUGGAAAUACCGCAAUGAGCAAUAAAGUCAUGAUGCCUAUCA
Long non-coding RNA from Canis lupus familiaris (dog), 1429 nucleotides. RefSeq lists it as uncharacterized. The record is from RefSeq and is a predicted model, not a curated record. Lineage: Eukaryota; Metazoa; Chordata; Mammalia; Carnivora; Canidae. The transcript has 3 exons.